UGUUCGUCUCGUUUUUGAGGUUUGCGAUGUUUUUUCAACCACCAGACGAUAAAGACAAACAGCCACAAUCACAACCAACAAAAUCUCGGAAACGCUCCCGACGGAAGGGAAAACGGAAAGCGUCAUUAGCGAAUAACUUAAAGAAUUUCAAGAAGAAAAACGGGUUUGUAGAUACGAUGUCUGCUUGGGCUGAGAGCUUCACGGUUGCAGCCACUUGGCAGUUGAAACACCAGUUGGCCUAUUGGAAAGCACGAGCUAAGUCUUUGGAAUACGAGAAUAACGUACUGCACGAUGUUAUUCGGAAAAAUUGUUUUAAAUCUUUCCCUACAACGUGUGAAACUGAUCAAGCAGAAGCCCAUGUACAAUACGGAUCAAGCCAGCAAAAUCAUGAGAAUUUAUCAGUAUCACCAGAAAGCGAGGAAGAAUUGGAAUCAAAUGACGACAAUAUGACUCUAGAAGAAAAUAGUGAAGAUGAAGAAUUGGAAGUUAGUGAAGAAUGGAUUGAAUUUUUAAAACAGAAUGCUAAAUAUAAAGAAGAAGCAAGACUCGAAAGAGAGCGUUUGAAGGCCAAAAUGGCGGAGAUUUCCGUCACUGAUCAACUAGAAGCUGGCCCAUCGGGCCCUCCAAAAAAUAAAACUGAAGAACUACAAGAGUUAUAUGGGGAAAAAUGGAAAAGGAUAGCAGCCAUAGAAAUGUCGGUACAGUCGCAAUUUAUAAGUAAUAGUGAUAGGAGUAAACCUAUGUACUGGCCCAAUAUACCUUUUAAUUUUAGCUAGAAUUAGGUUUGCUCCCCAAGGAGAUUGUCGUGGAGAUCCUUGGGGGAGGCCUAUGCCCAGCAGUGGGCAUUGUACGGCUGAUGAUGAUGAGGUUUGCUCCCGGAAAAAUCAUCUUUAAGCUCAAAUAUUAUAGUAACAUAAGCAGUCUACAUAAGUCCUACUGCUGGGGAAAGGUCUCCUCAACCAACCAGAGGGUGUAUAUAUUGAACUGCCUUAUCCCUCAUGUAGUGGUUAUUCUGGCUGAUAUAGUUAUUAAUUGUGCUCUUUAAAUGUUUGUAUGUAAGUUUGCCUAUGCCCAGCAGUGGGCGU
RNAcentral lists this unclassified non-coding RNA (1085 nucleotides) under Pectinophora gossypiella (pink bollworm). Its description in RNAcentral is "gem-associated protein 8-like". The record is from RNAcentral. Lineage: Eukaryota; Metazoa; Arthropoda; Insecta; Lepidoptera; Gelechiidae.